GACGAACGCUGGUGGCGUGCUUAACACAUGCAAGUCGAACGGAAAGACCCUGCUUUUGUGGGGUGCUCGAGUGGCGAACGGGUGAGUAACACGUGAGUAACCUGCCCUUGACUUUGGGAUAACUUCAGGAAACUGGGGCUAAUACCGGAUAGGAGCUCCUGCUGCAUGGUGGGGGUUGGAAAGUUUCGGCGGUUGGGGAUGGACUCGCGGCUUAUCAGCUUGUUGGUGGGGUAGUGGCUUACCAAGGCUUUGACGGGUAGCCGGCCUGAGAGGGUGACCGGCCACAUUGGGACUGAGAUACGGCCCAGACUCCUACGGGAGGCAGCAGUGGGGAAUAUUGCACAAUGGGCGGAAGCCUGAUGCAGCAACGCCGCGUGCGGGAUGACGGCCUUCGGGUUGUAAACCGCUUUCGCCUGUGACGAAGCGUGAGUGACGGUAAUGGGUAAAGAAGCACCGGCUAACUACGU
RNAcentral lists this ribosomal RNA (467 nucleotides) under uncultured bacterium. RNAcentral's name for it is "partial 16S ribosomal RNA". It matches the Rfam family "Bacterial small subunit ribosomal RNA", at positions 28 to 506 of the family's 1533-position model. The record is from RNAcentral.